AGUGAACGCUGGCGGUAGGCCUAACACAUGCAAGUCGAACGGCAGCACAGUAAGAGCUUGCUCUUACGGGGGGCGAGUGGCGGACGGGUGAGGAAUACAUCGGAAUCUACUUUUUCGUGGGGGAUAACGUAGGGAAACUUACGCUAAUACCGCAUACGACCUACGGGUGAAAGCAGGGGAUCUUUGGACCUUGCGCGAGCUAAUGAGCCGAUGUCGGAUUAGCUAGUUGGCGGGGUACAGGCCCACCAAGGCGGCGAUCGGCAGCUGGUGUGAGAGGAUGAAGAGCGACACUGGGACUGGGACGCGGCCCAGACUCUUACGGGAGGCAGAGGUGGCGAAUAUUGGACACUGGGCGGAAGACUGAUCCAUCCGUGCAGGGUGGGUGCAGAAGGCCUUCGGGUUGUAUAGCCCUUUUGUUGGGAAAGAAAACCAGCAGGUUAAUCCACCGCUGUUCUGACGGUACCCAAAUAAUAAGCACCGGCUAACUUCGUG
This 492-nucleotide ribosomal RNA is filed under the name uncultured bacterium. RNAcentral describes it as "partial 16S ribosomal RNA". It matches the Rfam family "Bacterial small subunit ribosomal RNA", at positions 29 to 507 of the family's 1533-position model. The record is from RNAcentral.